ACUCUAUGGUCUUUUGUUCAACAGGACCUGCCCUCAGCGUUCUUCACUCCACACGACACAGCCGACCCAGACAUCAUGUGCAGGAGGUACCUCCUGACAGCAGGCUUGACACCAGCUACUGUCCAGCUCCCCAGUAAACCAGAUUCCCUCAUUGCUCCUAAUGGGGUCUAGACUGCAGGAGGAGGAAGCAGGUGGGCAAUGUCCAGAUUUCCAUGAUGACCCUCCGAGGAGAUACCCGUGGCUAGGUUACUGCACAACUACAGCAUCACAGAGGAGACUCCAGAACUCAAACUACCAAGGUAGCUCCACAGACUGACUCCCGGUGUGCAUAGAGGGCAGGCAAAUGCUGACUGGAGGGAAGGGUUUGGAGAGUUGAAGGGGAGAGAGACCAUCCUAGUGGGAGGAGAAUGUGAGUGAAGGCUUAUGGAUGAGAAGGAACCAGGCAGAGGGACCAAAGCAGGUGCCCUGACCAAGCAGAAGCAGAACAUCAGGGCGAAAUGUGCUGUAGUAAUGGAUCAGCAGGGUGGAGGCUGAUCUUUGGGAGGGUCAAGAAUCAGGCUAGAAUGUGGUGUUCAUACCAGGGUAUACCACAGGCAACUGCCAUCGUUGUCCCUUAGAUGUACCCUUGCUCCUGGAUACCUGGCUCUGGUUGGCGGCACCCUCAUUCAGUUAGACACUCACACAAGAGCCUUCUUAGAAUCCUUUCUUACUCCUGACAGCUAAUCAAUCAUUGAGUCUUGCUGACUCUUGUCUCCAAGCCUGUCUUAAAUUCAUUUUUCCUGCCAUUCCCCUGGUUCAGAACUCAUUAUCUCUUGCUUAGACCAUGGCUCUAAUAUCCUCAUUGGUCUCCCUGUUUCCAUCCAAAGUCAAUAAAGAUUUGUAGGAUGAAAAAUGCAUGAAUACUGAGGCUUAAAUGGUCAUGGCAGCUCCCCAGUUGGGAAGCCCAGCAAGAAGCUUGUCUACCAUCCACUGAAGACACACAGAAACUUGUCUCUGGAACUGAAAGUACCCUACAGGAGUUAGGCAUUACAACCCAGCUUCCAUUUUAGAAGUGAUCCAGCCUACAUUUCCCUUAUAGUUGGAGAGAACCUGAGUCCCUACAUGGAAGCUGACCCCAGGAUCGGAUUUGCAUCUGGGCCUCACUCAUUUGCUUUCACGCUUUUUAUCUGAGCUCUCCUCCAGUGCAGUUCAAAAGCCAGGCUUCUAAUGAAGAGGCAGGACUGACCCUGCUCAGCAGGGUUAUUGGGACAGGAUUACCAUAGGUGUGGGGGGCAGUGCCAUGGAGAGAAACACAGGCUUCUCUCCUUCAAAGGGCAGCUCCCAACUCCAAAUAAGUCCACACCUUGGGGGAAACUGCCUUGCUGGCUGAAUUAACCUGCCCUUCUGCAAGGCAAGGUUGGCAGCACAGAUGGAAUGAGCUGUGUUAACAUAAGAGAUGCAAUUUUGUUCGAAAAUUUCUUCCUUCAGGAAAUCCUUAUUACACUCCCUAUCUCCCCAUCUCUCCCCAGCAACAUUCAAAAGCAAAUCACAAGUGCAUGCCCUUGGGCCCAUCUGAUCUUUAACAAGCUGAUCCCAUCAUCUCUUCCUAACCUGGAGGAGUUUAGGAAACGAUGCUAACUAACCCACAGUGGCCUGGGGUUCCGUUGACUUAUAAUUCAGGUGCAUGGGGAGCAAAAUGGGGUAUUCCUUCAAAGUAAGAUGUCAUCUUAGAUGACUUCUCUGCUGCAGAAUGGAGGAGAGGACUGGAGGUGGUUUUCUGAAUAUUGCAGAUCCCUUAUAACCAUUUUUGCAAGAGCUGUAUGGAAUAUUGAAGUUGUGGUGAUUUUUCUGAUCUGCUGCAUCAUUCUGGAGAGGUGUGCAGCCCCAUAGGCCUUCCCUGCCAGCCAGGUGACGUGAAAAAUGGAACAUGACAAUAUCAAGCAGAGUUUAUUUCACAUUGAGUUCUAAAUAUUUUUACUUGGUUCCUUGGGUUAGAACAGUGUGGGUGAAGGGGUGUGUGUAUGUGUGUAUAUGUGCUUGUGUGUACGUAUGUGUGAAAGUUGAGGGAGAAAAACUGCCCCAAAGAUAAUAGUGGAGAGGCCCACCUUGGGGGAAGGCAGGCUAGACUGUGCAUUCACAGCCUCCUUUUCUUUUGGAGGAGAUGCAGUUACCUCCAAAUACAAGCCCACUGUAAGAGUAAGCCCUUUCCUAAGCUCCCAAACAUGGCUGGAGAGUCCAGUGUGAGUUCCUGAGUAUUUUGGGAGAGAACAAGGAAGAAAUCAACUAUGUGCAGGAGUAGGAGUGAAGGAGGCCCAUCACCAUGUCAACAGUCUGACUUACUAAGCACAUGAGGCACUUCUCGCCUUAUGAGAUGCUCUUUUUCUCAUUUCACAGACUCACUGAGAGAUUUACAUUCUAGCUCCCGAGGCCUGGAUGGAG
This 2418-nucleotide long non-coding RNA is filed under the name Pan troglodytes (chimpanzee). RNAcentral describes it as "long non-coding RNA NONPTRT012131". The record is from RNAcentral. Lineage: Eukaryota; Metazoa; Chordata; Mammalia; Primates; Hominidae.